Molecule: transfer RNA, 72 nt
Filed under: Eremias vermiculata
Lineage: Eukaryota; Metazoa; Chordata; Lepidosauria; Squamata; Lacertidae
Description: tRNA-Asp
Source: RNAcentral
GGGGCCCUAGUAAAUUAAUUACAUAGUUCUGUCAGCACUAAAUUAUGGGCUCAAUUAAACCCAUGGUCCCCA